Molecule: ribosomal RNA, 468 nt
Filed under: uncultured bacterium
Lineage: Bacteria
Description: partial 16S ribosomal RNA
Rfam family: Bacterial small subunit ribosomal RNA
Source: RNAcentral
UACUAACUCUGGCGGCGUGCUUAACACAUGCAAGUCGAACGGAAAGGCCCUGCUUUUGUGGGGUGCUCGAGUGGCGAACGGGUGAGUAACACGUGAGUAACCUGCCCUUGACUUUGGGAUAACUUCAGGAAACUGGGGCUAAUACCUGCUAGGAGCUCCUGCUGCAUGGUGGGGGUUGGAAAGUUUCGGCGGUUGGGGAUGGACUCGCGGCUUAUCAGCUUGUUGGUGGGGUAGUGGCUUACCAAGGCUUUGACGGGUAGCCGGCCUGAGAGGGUGACCGGCCACAUUGGGACUGAGAUACGGCCCAGACUCCUACGGGAGGCAGCAGUGGGGAAUAUUGCACAAUGGGCGGAAGCCUGAUGCAGCAACGCCGCGUGCGGGAUGACGGCCUUCGGGUUGUAAACCGCUUUCGCCUGUGACGAAGCGUGAGUGACGGUAAUGGGUAAAGAAGCACCGGCUAACUACGUG